RNAcentral lists this ribosomal RNA (1498 nucleotides) under metagenome. RNAcentral's name for it is "bacterial SSU rRNA". It matches the Rfam family "Bacterial small subunit ribosomal RNA". The record is from RNAcentral.
AGAGUUUGAUCCUGGCUCAGAACGAACGCUGGCGGCGCGUUUUAAGCAUGCAAGUCGAACGGGAUUGGAGGUGCUUGCACUUCCAUGAGAGUGGCGAACGGGUGAGUAACACGUAGUUGAUCUGCCUUUCAGUUGGGGAUAGCCUAUAGAGAUAUAGGGUAAUACCGAAUACUUUCUUUACCUUUUGAGGUUUAGAGGAAAGAUCCGUUUGGAUCGCUGAGAGAUGAGACUGCGGCUGAUUAGCUUGUUGGUAGGGUAAUGGCCUACCAAGGCGACGAUCAGUAGCCGGCCUGAGAGGGUGACCGGCCACACUGGGACUGAGACACGGCCCAGACUCCUACGGGAGGCAGCAGCUAAGAAUCUUCCGCAAUGGGGGCAACCCUGACGGAGCGACGCCGCGUGUGCGAAGAAUGUCGAGAGAUUGUAAAGCACUUUUAUGUAGGAAGAAUAAUAGGAUCAGGAAAUGGGUUCGAGAUGACGUUACUACAUGAAUAAGCUCCGGCCAAUUACGUGCCAGCAGCCGCGGUAACACGUAAGGAGCGAGCGUUGUUCGGAAUUAUUGGGCGUAAAGGGCUUGUAGGCGGUUUCAAAAGUCUGAAGUAAAAGAUCACAGCUUAACUGUGGGAGUGCUUCGGAAACUGUGAGACUAGAAUCAGUGAGGGGAAACUAGAAUUCCUGGUGUAGGGGUGAAAUCUGUUGAUAUCAGGAAGAAUACCUGAGGCGAAGGCGAGUUUCUGGCACAUGAUUGACGCUGAUAAGCGAAAGCGUAGGUAGCGAACAGGAUUAGAUACCCUGGUAGUCUACGCCGUAAACGAUGUACACUUGGUGUCUGCAGAGAAUGUAGGUGCCGUAGCUAACGUGUUAAGUGUACCGCCUGGGGAGUAUGCCGGCAACGGUGAAACUCAAAGGAAUUGACGGGGGCCCGCACAAGCGGUGGAGCAUGUGGUUUAAUUCGACGAUACGCGAGAAACCUUACCUGGGCUUGACAUAUACCGGACGGGUGCAGAGAUGCAUCUUCUGCUUGCAGUCGGUAUACAGGUGCUGCAUGGUUGUCGUCAGCUCGUGCCGUGAGGUGUUGGGUUAAGUCCCGCAACGAGCGCAACCCCUAUUGUAUGUUACCACCAUUUAGUUGGGGACUCAUGCAAGACUGCCGGUGACAAACCGGAGGAAGGUGGGGAUGACGUCAAAUCAUCAUGGCCCUUAUGUCCAGGGCUACACACGUGCUACAAUGGUCGGUACAAAGCGCCGCGAAAUCGCGAGAUGGAGCAAAACGCAAAAAGCCGGCCUCAGUUCGGAUUGGAGUCUGAAACUCGACUCCAUGAAGGUGGAAUCGCUAGUAAUCGCGCAUCAGCAUGGCGCGGUGAAUACGUUCCCGGGCCUUGUACACACCGCCCGUCACACCACCCGAGUUGGGGGUACCCGAAGUCGCUAGUCUAACCUUUUAGGAGGACGGCGCCGAAGGUAUGUUCGGCAAGGGGGGUGAAGUCGUAACAAGGUA